UCAAGAGGGAAACAGCCCAGACCGCCGACUAAGGUCCCCAAUGCUGUACUAAGUGGAAAAGGAUGUAGGACUUCCCAGACAACCAGGAUGUUGGCUCAGAAGCAGCCACCAUUGAAAGAGUGCGUAAUAGCUCACUGGUCAAGUGGUAAUGCGCCGAAGAUGAACGGGGCUAAAUCUGAUACCGAAACUGUGGGAUAG
Molecule: ribosomal RNA, 198 nt
Filed under: Aurantiochytrium limacinum
Lineage: Eukaryota; Bigyra; Thraustochytrida; Thraustochytriidae
Description: partial Bacterial large subunit ribosomal RNA
Rfam family: Bacterial large subunit ribosomal RNA
Source: RNAcentral